UCAGCCAGAAUUGGAGUUGAACUUGCAACCAUUGCGACCAUGAUAGCUUUCGCAUACAGGGUACAGGUCUUAACCACUGAUCCACUCCACCCCCAAAUUCCCAACGACAAAGCUUCCUUGAUGUUGCGCUUUCCAAAGUGUGGGCCAUGGCCUACUGGUGGCCCUUGGUGGUACUGCAGACUGAGGGCUCUCAUUGGCUGAGCUGUCCCAACAUGGCAGAGCUUGAUUGGCUGACUCGGACAGCGCCUACACCCGCCCUCCCUUCACCUUUCAAGAUGCUCAGGGCGGGAAAUCAAGUGCUCUUAAAGGACGAUUCUGAUUAUUUUAUCAUUUUUUUGGAGCAACUCUCUUGUUUGAAUGUUACUGCAAAGAUACAGACAACUAUAUAUUUGAAUUGACAUAUUUAAAAGGUAUUAUUAAUAACAAUAUGAUUUUUCAAAUCUUCAUUUGGCUUACAUUUACAAAAAAAUACUUUUAUAAAUACUAUUAUAUUCCUGUUGCUUCACUGUGCAAACAAACACAAUCUAACUUAAAUGUGAAUGCAAAUGUAAGGAACACAACAUUUAAGAUAAGGCUCUUUUUUUCAGACAAAAACAAUAAUUCAAGGCCCACUUAUUAGCUAUUUAUUUAAAAACAGUUUUUGCACACGACACCAGGGUUUCCCAUGUUGGUGUUUGUUGCGUUUGUACCAUGUGUCGGGGACAUCCUACACAAACUAUGUUAAGCCUUAUUUCAAUAUUGGAUGAAUUAUGUCCUUGUCCUUCCUUUAUUUGAUGCAAACCACUUUGAAUUGACUUACUGUUGAAAUGAGAUAAACAAAUAAAGGCACUUUGUGUGUCGAAUAACCUCCAGGGUUUCCUGGUGGUGCCAUAGGAAGCUCAGAGUUUGUUCAGAGGGUAUUCACACAUGAAUUGAUUGAUGACUUAAAAACACACAUUCUACCCAUCAAUCUAAAUGUCCAAACCUGAGAUGAAAUGAUUAUUUUUAUCAUUUAAAUUCAGGUUUGGAAGGCAUCACUGACCCUGUGUGCUCAACUCCUUCACAUAUGUAACUGCUCAAAGUAAGGCUGCAACAAUUAAUUGAUUAGUAAUUGACAAUUAAAUGAAUCAGCAAUUACUUUGAUUUAUCACUUGAGAUGAUUUUAAACAAGUUGUGUGACCCUGUGGAAACGUAAGAAAAUAAAUACACAGGAUCUAUUAUGUUUGACUCUUUUUCUUAAUUAUUUUUGAUUUAUUUUUAUUCUUCGGGAAAUGGUUUUCAAAUAACCCUUAAAGUUUUCUACCACACUA
Molecule: long non-coding RNA, 1289 nt
Organism: Solea senegalensis (Senegalese sole)
Lineage: Eukaryota; Metazoa; Chordata; Actinopteri; Pleuronectiformes; Soleidae
Exons: 3
Source: RefSeq, a predicted model, not a curated record